This 389-nucleotide ribosomal RNA is filed under the name Draconarius hanoiensis. RNAcentral's name for it is "partial 16S ribosomal RNA". Lineage: Eukaryota; Metazoa; Arthropoda; Arachnida; Araneae; Agelenidae. The record is from RNAcentral.
CUCAAUGAAUUUCUAAUAGCCGCAAUACUUUGUGCUAAGGUAGCAUAAUCAUUCGUCUUUUAAUUAAAGACUAGAACGAAAGAUUUAACAUUUUUAUUUCUUUCUUAUGUAUUCCUAUUUAAUUUAUUUCAAAUAUUAAAAAAUAUUUAUAUUUAAAGAAGACGAUAAGACCCUAUUGAACUUUACUAAAGUUUAACUGGGGUAGUUAAUUAAAAAUAAUUUUAAUUUAAAUACUAAAAACACCUAAUAUAAUUAAAAACAUCAAGUUACCAUAGGGAUAACAGCGUAAUAAUUUUUAUAAGCUCUUAUUUAAAUAAUUGUUUGCGACCUCGAUGUUGAAUUAAUAAUCUAUUAAAAGUAAAAAUUUAAUAAGAAAGUCUGUUCGACUU